Molecule: long non-coding RNA, 4697 nt
Organism: Columba livia (rock pigeon)
Lineage: Eukaryota; Metazoa; Chordata; Aves; Columbiformes; Columbidae
Exons: 3
Source: RefSeq, a predicted model, not a curated record
AAAAGGUUCCACUUAAAUUUGAGAAGAAACUUCUCAGUGAGGGUGGCAGAGCCUGGCCCAGGCUGCCCAGGGGGGUUGUGGAGUCUCCUUCUGUGCAGACAUUCCAACCCGCCUGGACACCUUCCUGUGUAACCUCAUCUGGGUGUUCCUGCUCCAUGGGGGGAUUGCACUGGAUGAGCUUUCCAGGUCCCUUCCAAUCCCUGACAUUCUGUGAUUCUGUGAUAGAACAGGUUUGGUUUGAUUUUCUUCCUCUUCUGAUCAUUCUUCUUGCUAACUUGUACAAGCAAAUAUUGUGCAAAGUGUAGGCAGCAGGUCAGAAUGGCGCAGCUCAGCCACUUGCUGUUGUACAGAAGCAACGCAGCAGCAUCGUGUCCUGACAUCGUUGGCUUCCCAGGGACCCGGUCACAGUCUGAGAGAGAAACUGCAGGAAUUGCACAAGAUCCUCGCACAGCUACAAUCAGAUGAUCUCCUCGCUCCAGCUCCACUCCCUUCAGCUACCGACUGUUCCUCACCAUGGCCUAAGGAUUGUGAAAGAAUGUGGGAUGUAUCAGGUGUGAACUAGUUCAGUUCGUUUGGAUCCAAGAGCUCUCAGCAACAGACAGGACGACAAAUAACCUUGGGAAAGGGGGUGUUGACAAGCUGGGAUUUGUGGAAACCGACUGGAAGGAUCAGGAACCUGCACACGCAGCUCCCCUCACUCCUUCAGCAGCCACAAACACCCCCACCAUGAGAGCGUCUCUGCGUUUCCCUUGCCAUUGAAAAGGCAUUUCGAUGAAGUUCUGCUUUAGCUGAAGUCAGAACUAGCCCUUGAGAGCUGGUGCUGUCAAGGCUUCUGCCCAAGGGGAUUCCUGGUAGCAUCUACCAUGAAGAUGUGUACAGCCCUGUGUUUCCACCUCCACAGACUCCCUCACAGUUGUUUCGUUGCCCCAGGACCACUUUCCCAGAGCAAACUGAUCCCAUCACCUAAAAAGGCAACUGAUCAGCAUCAGGGAGCAAGCAACCUAAUUCCUUGAAAGGAUUAUGCAGGACGUGAUCCCAGACAGUACCUUCAAAGAUCAGAAUGUCUCCCUAGUUCGGCUUCGUCAAAAUUCAGCAUCAAACACACAUCCAAGUAGCUAUUUUCUCAGAUUUCCACUGCACUAAUAUCUCAGUAACCAUCUUAUAGAACCGCACUAGACCACUGAGAAGUUCACACGAACAUCCCAUGUUCCUGAUGUCUGUCUCCACAUACAACCACAGGCAGGCCAGAGGUGAUCCAGAUCCCUUGUGCUCAUCCUCAGCAGAGCAGAGCUCAUUUCACACUGAGUAUCAAUGACAGUAGGAUCAUAGAAUAGCAGGUGGAAGGGACCACAAGGAUCAUCUGCUGCAACCUUUCUUAGUAUAAGCCUGGUCUAGACAACAUGGCCCAGCACCCUGUCUGGCUGAACCUUAAAACAUGUCCAUGUCCAGUCCAACUCCACUCUGCACCAGUCUCAAGCAGAUUUGGAUUUGUCCAGGUUUCUUUUGAAAAAGGAAACCCUCACCCAGCAGCGUGAAAUCACACGCAGCUCUGUCACGCUGAGAGCCCACACUGUAAAACCUUCACUGCUCCAAUCCGGGAAGCACAAUGACAAAUGACUCCAGUCAAAAGCUUACAGCCAGGACCUAAAUCUUCCACCACCUCUUUUCAGCGUGAAUUCAUUUUAGGUGUUCUGUGAGAUAUAUUGAAGUUUGCAUUCCUCCAACUGCAAAAAUAGAUUGUUCUAGUUAUUAAAAUUUUAAAAAUUAAGGAAAAAAUUGAAAGGUAAACCAGAAAGGAAAUACUAGUGUAGUCAGAAAUCACAGUCAUGCCAACGAAUUGCAGCGGUACUAAGACACUUGUGCUGUAUUUUUGCAGUAGCACCAAAGAAGAAAAAAAAGACUCAGAGAGACUCUUUUUGAAGGCAGUUUAAGGUUAAAAUGAAAGCAGAUGUCAAAACUUAACCUGCACUACACCAGCUGCCUGACUGUAGUGGGAGCAAGAAUGGGCCAAAAAUUGUUCAUCUGCUGGUUAUUCCUCCAGCAGCUGCGGUACAUUCCCUGACCAGUAUGGGGUUUUAUGCCUGAAUCACAUAUUUUGCCCAUCGUGGCUCUGUUCUCCAAACAGCCUUCCUCUUUUCCACUAGGCACCUUACAUCAUUUUUCUCUAGCUGACCAAGUUCAGUCCGACACAGAAGACACUACAAAAUCUCAGUUUUCCAGGAAGCUGCGGUUGGACUUCCCAGGACACAGGCUGCAAGGUCCUCUUGACAGCUGCCUUGGUCCCUCGGUCCCCAUCAACCUCCUCGUCGUGUCACUGUGCAUCACUCCAUACAGGUUGACACAUCUACCGACAUUCAGCAAGGAGAACUCCUAUGCCACUCAGGCAGUAGAAACACAAAAAAAUAUCAGAUAUCAAAGAUUCGGAGACAAUAACUAAAGAGACUGACACCUGCAUGUUUGUGUAUCUGGGCCCCUGAGAUUAUUAUGCAGAAAUUACCAGGUAAACUUGAGUCUUCCAAUGUCUCGGUCACCCACUAGACCAGGACUUCUCAGGUCAUCCAUCGUGACCUGUUUAGUAGAAUAUUUUCUUUUCUGACAAUUGUGGAUCAAGAUCAACUGGAACCGUGUAUCAGACUUGGGGAAUAAACAGUUACUGAGCUGAAAACAUUUUAAAAUAAAGCACUAUUUUUUAGUGAAAAAUAUUUGAAAAUUAAUGUUUCAUUUCAACUUAAAAAGAAUAUUUUAUUUUACUUUUAAAAAAGUUUUUACUGUUUUUUUAUUCAGCCAGCAAAACAAAAAUAUUCUCAAUUAUUUCCACAGUGCUGCUUAGAUUUGAGCUCAGAAUAGAUUUCAGUACAGAAGAAAAACAAUCAAGUGCUGUGUUGCUAAGUCCAACCAACUAAUUCUUAGUUCUGCAAUAGUGGACUUUUUCUUAAAGCCCCAGGUUCUUGAAUCAUGCGAUUAUAUGAAAAUCUCAGCUUGCUUUCCCACAGAAAGUAGAGGUCUGAUAAUUUGGGCUGCAAACAAAAGCUCACAUGGUGGAACACUGAAGGCUUCAGUGCCCCCAACAAUCAAAACAUGUAUUUUUCCAUCUUACCAAUUUUAAAGUCAAUCUCAUAAUACGGGAUGGAUAUUAUUUGUGAUUUUUUAACUCAUAGGGUAGGGAAUAUUGCAAAUGGCUUUCCAGAAGCUAUGGAGAAAGAUGCUUCAGGAUACCCCGAUCCUUUUUAACCCUUCUCUGUUAUUGACCCCUUCCCCCAUUUGUUUUGGGGAAGGAAACCAUCAACCAGACCCAUACAAACAGUAAGAGUUAAUUUGUUGCAAUGUAUCUGAGUGUAGUAACUGAUUACAUUUUUCCCCAAAGGAAACUUCAGUUAAUUUGGUUAGUGACUCAUAUGCCAGGCUGCCAAUUACAACACAGAUGAUUACACACAUAAAUUCACGUCGGAGUGGCUCAACGAUCACAGGGAGGAAGGAGGAAAAAAAAAAAAAACAACCAGAAAUUAAAAAAGGCUCCUCUUUACCUGCCUGGGGUUGGGGAUGGGUGAGCACCCACUCUGCAAGGGGCUGGGUGCCCACCAAUUUCAUUGGAGACCGAGUGCCAAAGCCUACAAGACUGGAACAUGAGCUCUCGGAGAUGGCAAUGUCUUCUAGCUUUCCAUUUGGGAUUUUUAUUGCAGAAUUGUGCUGCACACUCUCCAAAAUACUGUUUGCCAGUGUCGUUAGAGGAAUCCAUGCACAAAGAGAGCGGGAAGGAGGUUAAAUAAGCAGUGCUUGGCAGUACAUCAGUAAAUCAUUUAAAGAUAACCUGUGCAUACCAAUAAAAAAUAAAAAUCCAAUUAAAGAAAGUUUUUACACAGCUAGUCCCAAUUCUGAAGCGUUUCAUAUUCCUAAGGAGGAGUGGGAGAAGGGGAGGAAAGAAACCGGACAAGGAGUCAGGGUCUGAUACUAUAAGAUGAGGAAAGCCCAAGGCAGGCAUUAGAAAGGAAUUCCUACAUGCCUCAUCAAUUGGCCAAUGAAAUCAAUACUGAGGGGAGUUGGCAAAGCUCCUGAAUACAUAUAUUUAGAGAAAAUUAGACUUUGCACUUAAAAGCAAUAGGAAGCUCUGACAUUUGGUGGAGAGCGUAGGAGGAAGAAGGUGUUCUUUUAUCUUAAAUGAAAGCUACUUCACUGGCCUAAAAUGUAUUUCUACUUAGACAUUCCUUUAGAUAAAGAGCUGUAUACAUUUCCUUCAGUUAGGGUCAACAGGCUAGCCAUAGGAUAAUUCAUGCCGUUUUUUUGCUGGAGAGGUCAAAAUCCUCUACAAACAGCAAUUAAGAUUUGUGGCACCAGGGUACUAUUAUUCCCAUUUUACAAGGGAAUAAAUAAAAGGAUGUAGCAGCUAAGAGAUAUGCCCAAGGUCAUUAAGCAAGGCAGUGGCAGAAUCCAGCAUUACACACAGACACCUGGUUUCCCAUCCUCACCUCUCACCAAUAGGCACCAACCCUACAUUGGCCUUUAUUAAAUAACCAUUACAAAAUGUAUUAAUUUUCAUUUGGAACUAUGUAAAUUGACUCUUUCCCAAAAGACAGCAACUGGCCGUUAAAUAAAUAUCAAGUGAUUAUUACAAUCAUAUUUGCUGAAGGGUGGAUCAUCAGCAUAAUGUGCUGGGUUCAAUAAAAACGUUAUUGCCUGUCAAAUAAACAUGAUGAGCAGAG